CUUUAUAGCUUGCUACGGAAACAAUUAGUGGCAGACGGGUGAGUAAUGCAUAGGAAUCUGCCUAGUAGUAUGGGAUAGCCACUAGAAAUGGUGGGUAAUACUGUAUACGCCCUGCGGGGGAAAGAUUUAUCGCUACUAGAUGAGCCUAUGUUAGAUUAGCUAGUUGGUAGGGUAAAGGCCUACCAAGGCAGUGAUCUAUAGCUGGUCUGAGAGGAUGAUCAGCCACACUGGAACUGAGAUACGGUCCAGACUCCUACGGGAGGCAGCAGUGGGGAAUAUUGGACAAUGGGCGCAAGCCUGAUCCAGCUAUGCCGCGUGAGUGAGGAAGGCCUUAGGGUUGUAAAACUCUUUCAGUGGGGAAGAUAAUGACGGUACCCACAGAAGAAGUCCCGGCAAACUCCGUGCCAGCAGCCGCGGUAAUACGGAGGGGGCAAGCGUUGUUCGGAAUUAUUGGGCGUAAAGGGCAUGUAGGCGGUUCGGUAAGUUAAAGGUGAAAUGCCAGGGCUUAACCCUGGAGCUGCUUU
This 524-nucleotide ribosomal RNA is filed under the name Candidatus Anaplasma brasiliensis. Its description in RNAcentral is "partial 16S ribosomal RNA". It matches the Rfam family "Bacterial small subunit ribosomal RNA", at positions 71 to 627 of the family's 1533-position model. Lineage: Bacteria; Pseudomonadati; Pseudomonadota; Alphaproteobacteria; Rickettsiales; Anaplasmataceae. The record is from RNAcentral. RNAcentral also lists the same sequence under 1 other name.